GACACCGAUCCCGAUUUCCAAUCCAAUGCUUGGCUUUCAGCCCUGCAAUUAAACGGAUCUGCCACUCCUCUGGGCGCAAUCACUCACCAUCAUGAAAGAGUAGAUCACGUCAUCGGUGUUAUCAAAUCCUGCAAUCCCAAUGGGUUUGGAGAUGCAACAGUUACACUCAAGGACCCUACGGGCACUGUUGGCGCUAGUAUCCAUCACAAGGUCUUCACUGAAAGCGUAUUUGCGAAAGACAUAACUGUUGGAUCUGUUCUGCUUCUCCAAAAGGUCGCUGUGUUCUCUCCUAG
This is a long non-coding RNA of Lotus japonicus, 293 nucleotides long. RefSeq lists it as uncharacterized. The transcript is spliced from 3 exons. The record is from RefSeq and is a predicted model, not a curated record. NCBI's taxonomy places the organism in Eukaryota, Viridiplantae, Streptophyta, Magnoliopsida, Fabales, Fabaceae.